AGUCUCUGCUUUUAACUAGAUAGCAACUUUCAGCAGUGGAUGUCUAGGCUCGCACAUCGAUGAAGAACGCUGCGAACUGCGAUACGUAAUGCGAAUUGCAGGAUUCAGUGAGUCAUCGAAAUUUUGAACGCAUAUUGCACUUUCGGGUUCUGCCUGGAAGUAUGUCUGUAUCAGUGUCCGUACACUAAACUUGCCUUUCUUGCGUCGUGUAGUCGUCGCUGGGAAUGCGCAGAUGUGAGGUUUUGUCUCGCUCUGGCUCGAAUUCGUUGGGCAGGAGCAAGUCCCUUUAAAGUCGGACGUGUUUUCUCUCUGCGGUGUGCUGUGUCGGCGCUGGCGGCGCGUGGGACUCUCUUGUCUGUUGACGAGUCUGGCGACCUUUGGCUCGCGCAUUGCGGGGUGUGCUCGAUUGGCGGUAUGUUAGGCUUCGGCU
Molecule: ribosomal RNA, 430 nt
Filed under: Phytopythium litorale
Lineage: Eukaryota; Oomycota; Peronosporomycetes; Pythiales; Pythiaceae
Description: 5.8S rRNA
Rfam family: 5.8S ribosomal RNA (bases 25-179)
Source: RNAcentral